RNAcentral lists this ribosomal RNA (253 nucleotides) under uncultured bacterium. Its description in RNAcentral is "partial 16S ribosomal RNA". It matches the Rfam family "Bacterial small subunit ribosomal RNA", at positions 524 to 776 of the family's 1533-position model. The record is from RNAcentral.
UACGUAGGUGACAAGCGUUGUCCGGAUUUACUGGGCGUAAAGAGCGCGCAGGCGGUCGAUCAAGUCGAGUGUGAAAGCCCCCGGCUCAACUGGGGAGGGUCAUUCGAUACUGAUCGACUCGAAGGCAGGAGAGGGUAGUGGAAUUCCCGGUGUAGUGGUGAAAUGCGUAGAUAUCGGGAGGAACACCAGUGGCGAAGGCGGCAUCCUGGACCGGCAUUGACGCUGAGGAGCGAAAGCCAGGGGAGCAAACGGG